This is a small nuclear RNA of Ailuropoda melanoleuca (giant panda), 100 nucleotides long. NCBI's taxonomy places the organism in Eukaryota, Metazoa, Chordata, Mammalia, Carnivora, Ursidae. The record is from Ensembl.
UCGCUUCCUCAGCCCAUUUGCUAAAAUUGGAACAAUACAGAGAUGAGUGCGGCCUCUGUGCAAGGAUGACACACAAAUUUGUGAAGCAUUCCAUAAAAAA